RNAcentral lists this ribosomal RNA (204 nucleotides) under uncultured bacterium. RNAcentral describes it as "partial 16S ribosomal RNA". It matches the Rfam family "Bacterial small subunit ribosomal RNA", at positions 328 to 544 of the family's 1533-position model. The record is from RNAcentral.
ACGCUCGACACCUACGGGGGCAACAGUGGGGAAUAUUGCACAAUGGGGGAAACCCUGAUGCAGCAACGCCGCGUGAAGGAAGACGGUUUUCGGAUUGUAAACUUCUGUUCUUAGUGAAGAUAGUGACGGUAGCUAAGGAGCAAGCCACGGCUAACUACGUGCCAGUAGCCGCCGGUAAUACUGAGGCGGGCGUGGCGAAGGACG